Long non-coding RNA from Ipomoea nil (Japanese morning glory), 106 nucleotides. RefSeq lists it as uncharacterized. The record is from RefSeq and is a predicted model, not a curated record. The transcript has 3 exons. Lineage: Eukaryota; Viridiplantae; Streptophyta; Magnoliopsida; Solanales; Convolvulaceae.
AUACAUUUUUAUGCAAUCUAUGGGAAAUUACUACAAUUAAGCAGCAAGUGAAAUGCCUAAAGAAGAGAAUAGACAAUCAGAGUGGCAUGGCAUAAUUAUGAAUGUA